GGUUGGAUCAUUAACAAGGUUUAGAGCAAUCCUGCUCUAAAAUUAGACCUUAUGUGCACUGUAACUGUUCUUGGUGGGCCUGACUUGCUUUAGGUUUGGAAGUUUUGUAUUUAGGUAAAGAUGAAGUGGGAUUGUUAAGAGUGCUGUUGGGUAGGUUGGCAACAACUGGCCCUUCCCUCUUAUAGAGGUCUUGCUUUGUUUGAACUGGAGUGCUUAGCUUUAGAACUUGAGGUAAUAUACCUGCCAACAGGCCUCUUCACUCAGCUUGUUUGGGUGUUGUGGUGUCCUGAAACUAUAACAAACUUUAUCUGUGAUUUUUAGACUUUGGUUGCCACUGUUAGGAAUAUAAACAACUUUUAACAACGGAUCUCUUGGCUCUCGCAACGAUGAAGAACGCAGCGAAAUGCGAUAAGUAAUGUGAAUUGCAGAACUUUGUGAAUCAUCGAAUCUUUGAACGCACCUUGCACUCUUGGGAAACUGAGAGUAUGCCUGUUUGAGUAUCGUUAAAACCCCCUCAUCUGAAGGAGGUUGGGACUGAGUUUGUUAAAGAACUUGGGCCUGAUCUUUGAACGAUGGAUUUGAGGUUCUGUUGCUUUAGUGCUUCAGUGCCUUUAAAACGAAAUUUCAAACCGGAAGUAAGUUGGAAAGAUCUUGAGGAGAAAUCUUUGAGGUUGGACUGGCCCUUCCUUCCAAGUGUUAGCCUUUCAUAGGUUAGUACUUGGUGGUCACGGAUCACAGUUUCUCAACUGUUCGACCAGUUAUUCUUUAACAAUGAACUUGAUUGCCUUGUGCAAACUUCCAUUCAUUACCUAAGUUUGACUUUGAAUCGGACGCUCUACAUGGCUGGGAAACGGUUCACACCUUCGUGAAGUGAUUCUUUAUCAAACACUGGUCUCAAAUCAGGCAAGACUACCCGCUGAACUUAAGCAUAUCAAUAAGCGGAGGAAAAGAAACUAACAAGGAUUCCCCUAGUAACGGCGAGUGAAGCGGGAAAAGCUCAAAUUUGAAAUCUCCUUCUUACGAAGGCGAAUUGUAGUUUAGAGAAGUGUUUUCUGGGGCAGCUUAGGUAUAAGUUCUUUGGAACAAGACAUCAUAGAGGGUGAGAAUCCCGUCUGUGACCUAAAGCCUGCUCCUUUGUGAUACACUUUCGAAGAGUCGGUUUGUUUGGGAAUGCAGACCAAAAUGGGUGGUAAAUACCAUCUAAAGCUAAAUACUGGCGAGAGACCGAUAGCGAACAAGUACCGUGAGGGAAAGAUGAAAAGAACUUUGAAAAGAGAGUUAAACAGUACGUGAAAUUGUUAAAAGGGAAGCGCUUGAAAUCAGUGUUGCUCUUUGGUAAUCAACGGUUCUUUACUGAACUGUGCACUUGCCAAAACGCAGGUCAACGUCAGUUUAGGUUUGUGUAAAAAACCUCCAGUUGCAGUCUUUAUUGAUUAGCUGGUUGAAAUGCACAGACUUGGACUGAGGACUGCUUCUAGCAAUAGAACAGGACGUUGACAAAAUGGUUUUAAACGACCCGUCUUGAAACACGGACCAAGGAGUCUAACAAAUAUGCGAGUAUUUGGGUGGUAAACCCUUAUGCGUAAUGAAAGUGAAACUGGUGGGAACUUUUUGUGCACCAUCGACCGGUCUGGAUUUUUUUGAUAGAUCUGAGUAAGAGCAUAUGUGUUAGGACCCGAAAGAUGGUGAACUAUGCCUGAAUAGGGUGAAGCCAGAGGAAACUCUGGUGGAGGCUCGUAGCGAUUCUGACGUGCAAAUCGAUCGUCAAAUUUGGGUAUAGGGGCGAAAGACUAAUCGAACCAUCUAGUAGCUGGUUCCCUC
Molecule: unclassified non-coding RNA, 1821 nt
Filed under: uncultured fungus
Lineage: Eukaryota; Fungi
Description: sequence contains 18S rRNA gene, ITS1, 5.8S rRNA gene, ITS2, 28S rRNA gene
Rfam family: Eukaryotic large subunit ribosomal RNA (bases 890-1821)
Source: RNAcentral